Molecule: ribosomal RNA, 475 nt
Filed under: uncultured bacterium
Lineage: Bacteria
Description: SSU rRNA
Rfam family: Bacterial small subunit ribosomal RNA
Source: RNAcentral
AGGACGAACGCUGGCGGCGUGCUUAACACAUGCAAGUCGAACGGAAAGGCCCGCUUGCGGGUACUCGAGUGGCGAACGGGUGAGUAACACGUGGGCAACCUGCCCUCAGCUUCGGGAUAACACUUGGAAACAGGUGCUAAUACCGGAUAAUAACCUUUCAUCGCAUGGUGUGGGGUUCAAAGUUUUUCGGCUGGGGAUGGGCCCGCGGCCUAUCAGCUUGUUGGUGGGGUAAUGGCCUACCAAGGCGACGACGGGUAGCCGGCCUGAGAGGGCGACCGGCCACACUGGGACUGAGACACGGCCCAGACUCCUACGGGAGGCAGCAGUGGGAAUAUUGCGCAAUGGGCGGAAGCCUGACGCAGCGACGCCGCGUGAGGGAUGACGGCCUUCGGGUUGUAAACCUCUUCAGCUCUGACGAAGCGCAAGUGACGGUAGGAGCAGAAGAAGCACCGGCCAACUACGUGCCAGCAGCCGC